UACGUAGGGUCCGAGCGUUGUCCGGAAUUACUGGGCGUAAAGAGCUCGUAGGUGGUUUGUCGCGUUGUUCGUGAAAACUCACAGCUCAACUGUGGGCGUGCGGGCGAUACGGGCAGACUGGAGUACUGCAGGGGAGACUGGAAUUCCUGGUGUAGCGGUGAAAUGCGCAGAUAUCAGGAAGAACACCAAUGGCGAAAGCAGCUUUCUGGGACGGUACUGACGCUGAGACGCGAAAGCGUGGGGAGCGAACAGG
Molecule: ribosomal RNA, 253 nt
Filed under: uncultured bacterium
Lineage: Bacteria
Description: partial 16S ribosomal RNA
Rfam family: Bacterial small subunit ribosomal RNA
Source: RNAcentral